This 465-nucleotide ribosomal RNA is filed under the name uncultured bacterium. RNAcentral describes it as "partial 16S ribosomal RNA". It matches the Rfam family "Bacterial small subunit ribosomal RNA", at positions 28 to 507 of the family's 1533-position model. The record is from RNAcentral.
GACGAACGCUGGCGGCGUGCUUAACACAUGCAAAUCGAACGGAAAGGCCCUGCUUGCAGGGUACUCGAGUGGCGAACGGGUGAGUAACACGUGGGUGAUCUGCCCUGCACUUCGGGAUAAGCCUGGGAAACUGGGUCUAAUACCGGAUAGGAGCCAUUUUUAGUGUGAUGGUUGGAAAGUUUUUUCGGUGUAGGAUGAGCUCGCGGCCUAUCAGCUUGUUGGUGGGGUAAUGGCCUACCAAGGCGGCGACGGGUAGCCGGCCUGAGAGGGUGGACGGCCACAUUGGGACUGAGAUACGGCCCAGACUCCUACGGGAGGCAGCAGUGGGGAAUAUUGCACAAUGGGCGCAAGCCUGAUGCAGCGACGCCGCGUGGGGGAUGACGGCCUUCGGGUUGUAAACUCCUUUCGCUAGGGACGAAGCUUUUUGUGACGGUACCUAGAUAAGAAGCACCGGCUAACUACGUG